Molecule: ribosomal RNA, 523 nt
Filed under: uncultured bacterium
Lineage: Bacteria
Description: bacterial SSU rRNA
Rfam family: Bacterial small subunit ribosomal RNA
Source: RNAcentral
AGAGUUUGAUCCUGGCUCAGAUUGAACGCUAGCGGGAUGCUUUACACAUGCAAGUCGAACGGCAGCGCGGACUUCGGUCUGGCGGCGAGUGGCGAACGGGUGAGUAAUGUAUCGGAACGUGCCCAGUAGCGGGGGAUAACUACGCGAAAGCGUGGCUAAUACCGCAUACGCCCUUAUGGGGAAAGCGGGGGACCUCCGGGCCUCGCACUAUUGGAGCGGCCGAUAUCGGAUUAGCUAGUUGGUGGGGUAAAGGCUCACCAAGGCGACGAUCCGUAGCUGGUUUGAGAGGACGACCAGCCACACUGGGACUGAGACACGGCCCAGACUCCUACGGGAGGCAGCAGUGGGGAAUUUUGGACAAUGGGGGCAACCCUGAUCCAGCCAUCCCGCGUGUGCGAUGAAGGCCUUCGGGUUGUAAAGCACUUUUGGCAGGAAAGAAACGGCUCUGGAUAAUACCUGGAGUCACUGACGGUACCUGCAGAAUAAGCACCGGCUAACUACGUGCCAGCAGCCGCGGUAAUAC